Molecule: ribosomal RNA, 509 nt
Filed under: Filobasidium magnum
Lineage: Eukaryota; Fungi; Basidiomycota; Tremellomycetes; Filobasidiales; Filobasidiaceae
Description: partial large subunit ribosomal RNA
Rfam family: Eukaryotic large subunit ribosomal RNA
Source: RNAcentral
AUAGAAGUGUUUUCCGUGCUGGCUCAUGUACAAGUCCCUUGGAACAGGGCGUCAUAGAGGGUGAGAAUCCCGUCCUUGACAUGAACUACCAGUGCUCUGUGAUACAUUUUCAACGAGUCGAGUUGUUUGGGAAUGCAGCUCAAAAUGGGUGGUAAAUUCCAUCUAAAGCUAAAUAUUGGCGAGAGACCGAUAGCGAACAAGUACCGUGAGGGAAAGAUGAAAAGCACUUUGGAAAGAGAGUUAAACAGUAUGUGAAAUUGUUGAAAGGGAAACGAUUGAAGUCAGUCGUGCUCUUUGGAUUCAGCCGGUUCUGCCGGUGUACUUCCUUUGAGUGGGGUCAACAUCAGUUUUGAUCGCUGGAUAAAGGCUGGAGGAACGUAGUACCCUCGGGUAAACUUAUAGCCUCCUGUCACAUACAGUGGUUGGGACUGAGGAACGCAGCACGCCUUUAUGGCCGGGAUUCGUCCACGUACGUGCUUAGGAUGUUGACAUAAUGGCUUUAAACGACC